Molecule: ribosomal RNA, 450 nt
Filed under: uncultured bacterium
Lineage: Bacteria
Description: bacterial SSU rRNA
Rfam family: Bacterial small subunit ribosomal RNA
Source: RNAcentral
AACGAACGCUGGCGGCAGGCCUAACACAUGCAAGUCGAGCGCCCAGCAAUGGGAGCGGCAGACGGGUGAGUAACGCGUGGGAACCUUCCCAAUGGUACGGAAUAGCUCAGGGAAACUUGAGGUAAUACCGAAUAAGCCCGAAAGGGGAAAGAUUUAUCGCCAUUGGAUGGGCCCGCGUAGGAUUAGCUAGUUGGUGAGGUAAUGGCUCACCAAGGCGACGAUCCUUAGCUGGUUUGAGAGAAUGACCAGCCACACUGGGACUGAGACACGGCCCAGACUCCUACGGGAGGCAGCAGUGGGGAAUCUUGGACAAUGGGCGCAAGCCUGAUCCAGCCAUGCCGCGUGAAGUGACGAAGGUUCUUCGGAUUGUAAAGCUCUUUUGCCAGGGACGAUAAUGACGGUACCUGGAGAAUAAGCCCCGGCUAACUUCGUGCCAGCCGCCGCAGUAAG